RNAcentral lists this transfer RNA (69 nucleotides) under Edalorhina perezi (Perez's snouted frog). Its description in RNAcentral is "tRNA-Val". It matches the Rfam family "tRNA". From Rfam's summary of the family: Transfer RNA (tRNA) molecules are approximately 80 nucleotides in length. The record is from RNAcentral. Lineage: Eukaryota; Metazoa; Chordata; Amphibia; Anura; Leptodactylidae.
CAAAAUGUAGCUUAAUCAAAGCAUCUUGCUUACACCAAGAAAAUGUUUGUGAAAAUCAAAUCAUCUUGA